UCCACAGGAAUUCUUAGUGGC
This 21-nucleotide non-coding RNA is filed under the name Rattus norvegicus (Norway rat). The record is from RNAcentral. Lineage: Eukaryota; Metazoa; Chordata; Mammalia; Rodentia; Muridae.